Molecule: ribosomal RNA, 405 nt
Filed under: uncultured bacterium
Lineage: Bacteria
Description: bacterial SSU rRNA
Rfam family: Bacterial small subunit ribosomal RNA
Source: RNAcentral
CAGGGAAUCUUGCGCAAUGGGCGAAAGCCUGACGCAGCGACACCGCGUGAAGGAAGAAUGCCUUAGGGUUGUAAACUUCUUUUGUUGGGGAAGAGAUAGGACGGUACCCAGCGAAUAAGCCCCGGCUAACUACGUGCCAGCAGCCGCGGUAAUACGUAGGGGGCGAGCGUUGUCCGGAUUUAUUGGGCGUAAAGGGCGAGUAGGCGGCAUGCCAAGUCCCGUGUGAAAUCUCCUGGCUUAACUAGGAGCGGUCAUGGGAAACUGGCACGCUUGAGGACAUCAGAGGAGAGCGGAAUUCCCGGAGUAGUGGUGAAAUGCGUAGAUACCGGGAGGAACACCAGAGGCGAAGGCGGCUCUCUGGGAUGCACCUGACGCUGAGGCGCGAAAGCAUGGGUAGCAAACCGG